Molecule: long non-coding RNA, 346 nt
Organism: Conger conger (European conger)
Lineage: Eukaryota; Metazoa; Chordata; Actinopteri; Anguilliformes; Congridae
Exons: 3
Source: RefSeq, a predicted model, not a curated record
CUGGGAUUUCAGUUUGAGAAACUCAGUUUGGUGUUAGUAGUGAAGAUUCAGCUCUCUGUUAAAACUCCUGCAAGUGAAGAGUUGGGCAGGACGGCUGGACAAAGCCCCCCUCCAUGACCCCCCGGUGACCUCUCCAAACGCAUGAUGGGACAGGAAUCACCUGGGCAGGAACGGCAGGGACACGACCAGCUGAAUGCUAAAUCAGAUCUAGUUCCUGAAGCCUCUGCUAUCGAUUUGGGAGAUUACACAAGCAUUCAAUUUCCUCCGAAGUGAGAUGUCAACCAAGGUUCUGUAUCGGUUGACUCUGGCACAUUGUAACCUGGGGGUCAUCGACUCUGCCCUUUCA